RNA transcript from Anolis carolinensis (green anole), 18267 nucleotides. It is a transcript of the gene named sperm associated antigen 17, with no coding region annotated. The record is from RefSeq and is a predicted model, not a curated record. NCBI's taxonomy places the organism in Eukaryota, Metazoa, Chordata, Lepidosauria, Squamata, Anolidae. The transcript has 50 exons.
AGGUAGGCCGCCCUCGGUUGCCAAGGCGACGCCUAGGCUUGAGGUUCCAGCGCAGGGGCUGCUCGUCAGGCGCCUCUCUCUCCCUUUGGCCAUGGCUCCGAAGCGGCCCAAGAGCGGAGGCGGCGGGGGGACCCCUGCGACCCCAACGACUGGCUCAAAAAACUGGGAAGCCGGGCUGGUGGCUGCCCGCUUGGAAGAGGAAAAUUGGAGUCCCAGUAUUGCCUUUGUUUUGGGGAGCCAGCCUGAGGAUGAACUCCAUAUAAAGGCUCUGUCUCUUGCUGUGAAAGUGCCACAGAGGAGGCUUUUCAGUGUGGUAUCAUGGGAAGGAAUAUUAUCACAGAUCAUGGAAACUGCAGUUGCAGAAGUAAAAGUAAAAAAGACAAAAGAAAAAGAAAAAGAAAAAGAAACACCCUUGUAUUAUGAGGUACUAGAAGCAGCAAAAAAUAUUAUAGAUUCUGGGGAACAGCUUCCUAUAACUCUAAUUGGAAAGUUAAUUAAAUAUCAGAUGCUUUGCAUCAAGCAAAAAGACAUGCAAAGAAGAGCUGCUGAAAAGAAGAUAGGUGAAGACCAAGACAAGGUAAAAGAAGAGAAAGGGAAAGGAAAACCUAGCAAAAAAGAGAAGCCUCCUAGUGCCAAGUCUGGUGGAAAAGGAGGGAAAGGAAAGAAGGCAUCUGAAUCACAAAAUAUAUCUGCAAGUACAGUUAAAAAAGACACCGAGCUUAAGCGACGUGGAGAAGAUGAUGAUCUUGAUAAGUAUAUUGAUGAUGAACCGGAUGAUGGUGCUCAGUAUUAUUUCAUAGUGUGUGGAUUUUACUCUCCCCAACUUUUGCCUAUACUAUCUGAUCUUGGGGUCAAUAUUGGAAGUGUCAUUAAAAUAUCUUCUGAUAAUUAUGGACCACUCAAGACCCAUCUGGGAGCAACUGCCCAACAAGAAGAACUUGUCCUUGGAGGAGAAGUUGUGGAAACAGAAAAGAAGAAGAAGAAGGAAAAAGUGGUUAAGGACAUGGAAAUUUUCUGGAAAUACUUGGAACCAAUUUUGAACAAUGGGAAACCAGGAUCAAAUCUCUUUCAGAUUGCUAGACUCCAGCACACAGUCCAUGAGUCUAUCUUCCCUGCAGAUUGGAGUAAUAAUGAUAUGAUGCUUGAAUUUGGAACAGAAAUCUUUGAAAAUGUGGCAUGUUUGAUGUAUGACUGUCUGGACUGGAAAAGACAACAUCAGCACUACCUGAAAUCCACCCGAUUGAUUAAUGUCCCUGUAGUAGAAAAGAAAGGCAAAUUACCAGCUGAGAUACCAAUUGUUGUUCCAACUACUCCUGGAAAGAAAAAACAUGCCGUCGAAGAGCCUGUUGCAGUACCAGUAUUAACUACAGAUGUGGAUAUGCGAUAUUACAAUGAUCUUCUGAGUCCAGUUCCUGAAGAAGUUGUUUCUGUUGCGUUGAUAUUGGAUUGCAUGCUACAGCAGAUCAUUGCAUCAGAAGAAAACCUUACGCCACCAAGUUUGGUGAUUCAAGAGCCACGUGAAGAUGGGCUGGAUCAUACUGUUGCAAGUCAUAUUGCUUCAAUUUUGCCUUCUCUUGCCCUUCCUGAGACUGAGAAAAUGAAUCUGUACAAUACUUUAUAUCCUGAAAAUGAAGAAAUGAUGGCUCUCAGAUGUCCUCUUCUACUGAAUUAUCAUGAUACUUUGGCACAAAAACUGCACUUUCUAAAGGUACAAGAUGGUUUAGACCCAAUAAAGAUUGAAGCUGAAAUGAUGGCGAAGUUACCAUUGAUGGAUCUUCUUAAAUUUCCUCUACCACCACCUGGAAAUAAUACAAAACGCCUUGCCAGGAUCCAUGAGCUAAUGCACUAUUGUACCAGGGAACACAUGAACUGGGCUGAAGUUGAACGAGCUUUUAAAGUGUUUACAUUUGAAAGUCUGAAGCUGUCAAGUGUAGAUGACUCUGGACAAUUAGAAUGUCCUCACACAAUGCUUGGUGGUGAUUAUGAGGUGUCUUAUAUUCCAUGGGAUAAUCCUGCUAGGUUUGCUAAGCAACUGAGGCAAGACAUAACUGGAGAAAAGAUUUUAGAACAAAAUAUUUUGAACAGAUCAGAUUGGAUUUCUGAUAAAUACGGAAAUGGUCAAACAAAUUCUUUAGAAAACAAGGUAAAUCUGGAGGCAGAAUUAACAAUCAUACAAAAGACUCAGCAGCGAUGUUUGAAAGAAUGGAGUUUUGCAGAACAUUUUCAACCACAUCUGCUCUUCAAGGUUUUUUACGAUGCAACUCAGAAUUAUAGGUGCAUUGAUUCUUACUAUCACACUCAAGAUAAUUCUUUGCUGAUAGUUAUUCAUAAUCCCAUGAACCAGCGUUGUCAAUUCCGGGAGUCUUGGGAAGUUGCUUUGCAUUCUGAUGUUGGAUUCAGAAAUUACCUGGAAUUGGUGGCCAGUUCCAUUGAAGAGUGGGUAGUAAGGGAAGAAGCCAAAUAUCAGGAAUUAAAAAUGGCUAAGGAACUAGAAGCACUUAGGCUAGCUGCAGAGAUGGCAGAAAAGCCACCUGUUGAAAUUAAGUCUCCACCUCCUGGUAAAAAAGGUGCUGCCUCAAAGAAAUCCAAAAGUACUUCCAAAAGCAAAACUGAGGUAUCUCCAGAACCCCCAGUUAAGAAGGAAACUGAUAUAUUUGUUCGAAUUGAUUCUCUCAAGGCUUGGAAGGAAGAGCAGGAAAGGCUAUUAGAGGAAGAGCGUUUGAAAGAAUUAAAAAAAGCGGAGAAGAAAGAAAAACCCAGUGGCAAAAAAAAGGGCCAGGCUAAGGAGACAACUCCUGAUGAAGGAAAGGUAUCUAAAAAGAAACUUUCCAAGGAUAAAACUAAGUCACCAUCUAAAUCACCGGAGUCUGCUAAAUCACCAGAAACUGAAGAUCACACAAAGUCAUACAAACAAAGUAAAUUGAAUAUUCCUCCUCAGUUUCCAGAGAAAGACUAUGAGUUCCUUGGAUACAAUAUGUGUGAGAAUCCCAUUAUAGUUGCUGGUUGUAUUCGAUAUCUCUUUCCUACUGAUGGAGGGCAGAUCCAGGCAGAAACAAUAACAUUUGAAAAAGGGUCAACCUUAGUCAAAGUGAAGGUGAUAAAGGACAAUCACAUCUUCAUUGUUCAUAUCACAGACCCAAAGAAAAUCCACAAAGAAAGUAAAAAUAAAGAAGAAGGGUCUGGCUCUCCAGAAGAACAAGAGACAGAAACAGUAAAACAACCAGUAAAUCAAGAAGUGAGCAGAUUUGGAGCAUUUUCUGCAACUUUAGAAAACGACAUUCAUCUAUCCAUUAGCUGCUAUGGAGCUUCAGGAAAAGUAGCAGACAAAACAGAUCCUGAUUUAGCAGCAAUUUUGUCUAUUCCUUCUGUAAAUGUGCCUACUUCCACUUUUGUUACCUCGGCUGUGUCUGCUGGUACCGUUACCUCAGGAAAAGCCAAGCCUGGUAAAGAAAAAUCAGGCAAAUCAUUACAGUCUGCCAAACCAAGCUCUCGUCUCACAGUGACUGCAUCACCAGAAGAAUCUUUAAAACAAGAAGAGAAAAAGGUAGAAGCAGAUGAGCCAGUCCCCGUGCAAGGUGUUUCAGAUAUCCAUGUUUUCAAUACUUUGAAUGUGUCCUGUCCCAAUGGAUUGGCACUGACCUUUCUUGGUCAAAAAUUCACAGGUGAAGAAAAAGGAGACAAGGACAAGAAUGAUAAGCAAGAACACAAAAUAAAUGAUGGUAAAUUGGAAGACAUCAAGAAGGAUGGAGUCAAGAAACAAGAAUCCAAAUCAGAACAGGAUAAUGAGGCCACAGAAAACAAGGGCAAAGUGGAUGUCAACAAGGAAGAUGAAACCAAAGCCACUGUAUGUGCAGAAGGUAGCGUCAUAAAGAAUGAGGCCAGUGAAGAUAAAGCAGAAGGUGAAACUGAAGAAAACAAUGUGCACAAGACCAAAGAAUCUGUCUCUGAAAUACUUAUUAGACAAAGCUAUCCACAAAGAGUGAAACAUUCACAACUACUGAAAACAGUUAAGAAACCAGUAGAACAAGAAGUAUCCAGAGUUAUUACCAGACAAGGAACUGUUGUAAAGAGCAUGUUAGAUGGAUCCACUCAGAUACUGUUUGCUGAUGGCACUGUGAUUAGGAGUCCAGAUUCUGGGCCAGUAAUGCCACCUCCCCCUCCACCUAGUACACCACAUACAGAAGUUAUGCCAGAAGUUAUCACCACCACCACCACCAAGAAAACUAAGAAAAAUACCAAGAAUGCACUUGUUCCAAAAGUUGAAACACCUGAAACAGUUGUUCAAGAUCAUCUGUCAGAUACAGAACAAUCCCCUGAUGCCUUGGCAGGAACAUGGAUUACUACUACCCCAUUAGGCACUCAAAUAGGCACUAAAGGAUCUGAGAGACUUGAUCUGAAGCCCCUUUUGGCUUACCAGGCCACUGAUCCAGUUAAUGGAAUGGUAAUGACUAUGAGAGAAGACAGGGUAGUUGUGGUGGAGAAAAGAGAUGGUUCCAAAAUAGUAGAUCAUGCUGAUGGCACCAGAAUAACCACCUUCUUCCAAGAGUGUAUUGAAACUGUGGUAUCUAAUGAUAAUGAAGAAACAGAAAUGACCUCCCAGGACAUCAUAAGAAAAGUGAAGUGUAUGCGUAUAGAACACCCAGAUUUUGCAACUGUCAUAACAAAUUGUGAGGACAGCACCUGUUGUGCUAUUUUUGCUGAUGGUACCUCAAUUAUAUCAAACCCACAAGGAACAUACCAAAUAUUACCCAUGAACAAAGGCUGCCUCUUCAUUGAUAAAGAUUGUUCUGCAGUUUAUUCCCCUGAGGCAUUUGCAAAAAAUGAUUGUGAAUGUAUAUCCAGUGUUGAAGACAAACAAGUGGAGAAAUACAUUAUGAAGCAUAACUCCCACAUUGUCUGUGAAGUGAUGGAUCCUGCUGGGAACAUUUUCAAGGUCAUGGCUGAUGGCAGCACAUCUGAAUACAUUGCUUCCAUUGAUUCUGGUGUAAAAAAAUCAGAACCCAUGUAUACAGAGACUCCAGUCAUAUAUGGGGAGCAUGCACCCAGAUUCUUCAUUGUCUAUGCUGAUGGCUCAGGAACUGAACUGCUCCGUACGAAGGACAUGGAAGAAUAUUUGGCUAUGGCAUAUGGGGAUCCAGUUACAGUAGUUCUGCAAGAACCAAUACCAGAAUGCCCAGGAGUCUUAAGCAUUACUAUCCUCUGUCCUCUGACUGUGACAUCUCAAUGGGUAAUGAAGAGAGAUCCUACCACUGUUGUCCCUUAUAAUCUCCAGUCAAGAGCCUGGGAAAAAUUUCCUCCGGUUGAGAGAAAAACUCCAGGCCCUCCAUUUGGAACACAUGCUUGGAAAGGUCUAUGCAUAGAAUUCAAAGAGCUGGCAAAUUCUCCUGCACCUAUACUGAAAUGUCCAGAUGUACUUCAGAUUCAUCAAUUGAUCCAGUAUGAGCCAAUCACUGAUGAACUGAGACUCAAAUUGCAACUUUCUCUCAAGGAGUACAUUGAAAAAAUAAUGAAGCAGGAAGAAGAAAUUCAUGAAAUGACCAUCAAAGAUCCAAGAAUAGAAGAGGAAAAGGAACAUGCUGCAGAUCUCCUCAAGCUAGUUAUGUCUUUCCCCAGCCUUGAAGAACCUUCAGAUCUCUGUGCUAGAGCAGCUCAGAUUGCUGAAAUAUAUGAGCAGGCUGUGACUUCCCAAUCACAGCAUCCAUCAGGGGAGGCACUCGCAAGGAAAAGUGAGGAAUAUUGGCAGAAAUUACGCCAAGAAGAGGCAGCUCAGAUAUCCCCCUGGCAGAUCAAGUUAGAGCAAACCAGGCAGGAAAUCAUGGCCGGAAAGACAUGUCUUAUGAAUAUAAGGAGGAAAAUCAUCCCUUCUUAUUUCAAAUCUGAAUUUGGCAUGAACUUUCUGCUAAAAGAGCUUCCUGAAAUUGAACGCCUUUCAAAAAUGGUGCCUUCAUUCUCAAGAAAAGAAAAGAAGGAACCGUUUUUUAGCACAAUUACAGAAUCUACUGAAAUAAUUGAAUUCAGUUUAGAAUCUCAAGACCGGUCUACCAGGAGCAACCAGCCAAACUCAUUGCUUACUUCAUCGUGUGUUCACCAAGAUAGUUCAACAACAGAAGCAGAAGUUACUGAAAAAGGAUUAGAGAGCAUUAUCCAGCCAAAACAAUUUAUUCGGGUGUAUGCUCAAGAAUCCCCAAGGAAGGAGAAGGUGAAAUUACCCCUAUUCAUACAGACAGGCAAGCCACAAUCUAUACCCAAGCAAAAAGGUGAAGAUCCUGUUUCUGGCAGAGUGCGUACAUGCUCUGUUGCAGCAGCUUCCCAGCAAGUGUCAGGUUUCCUUCUCAUCCCACCUAAAGUCAGCUUUGGGGUUCUCAAGGAGGGCUGCACUUACGUAGCCUCGGUUGCCUUGAAGAACAUUGGAAUAGACUACUGCAGAUUUCGAGUGAAACAACCACCACCGUGUACUGGAUUGCGAGUGAGCUACAUCCCAGGGCCUGUAGCUGCUGGUUUGCACACAGAACUGGAAAUUGAGAUUUUUGCUAUGGUUAUUGGAGCGGAAGGAGAUCAGGGCUCUGGAGAAAUUUUUCAUCGGAUUGAGAUUUGCACAGAAAAUGAAACACUCUUUCUGCCCGUGGAAGCAACAGUUCUGAAAUGUGAUGCUUAUGAACACAGACCACCAAACUAUCCUCAGACAGGAAAGGCCUCCACCAUCCGCCUGGUUUCAGGAAAUCCAAUAUCUCCUUUUAGGUCUAUGCUACGUCACAAGAUUCCUGGUUAAUGGAACCGCAUCUUGAGGCUUCUAGAAACUCUCUCACAAGCAAGAGCAAGGAGCAAGAAAUAUUACUUACCACCGGCUGGUUUUCCUUGGCUACAUUGUCUUCAUACUCCAGUUCUCUUUCCUGCAGAUGAAUUUAUCAAUGCUUCAGAAUUAGCAAACACGGUUCAGAACACUCCAUUUCCUUGACCAGUUCCUCCUUGUUUGUGCCUAACAAGAAGAAAUUCAUUAUGUUCUGUGGCACUGAACUUGAUCUGCAGAGCUCAAACUACUCUCAAGAAUUUUUUUAACUUUCAUUUCUAAAUUGUCAUUGAAGACCUUCAGUCAGACUUGUGAUGCUACAGAGAGGGCAAGACGCUGUCAUUUCCUUUCUAUUUUCCACAUUUUUCCUAGUCACUUCUGAAGAGAGUAAAAUGAAGUUUUAUUCCAAGGGAGAAAAAAUCCUCACCUGUUUUGGAUACUGUUCUCAUCUUUCACCAGCUGAAAUUCCCAGAACUUGACACAUUUAUCUGCACCUCCUGUUGCGAAACCACACUGAAGGAGAACCAAUUAAAUUUAAUUAAAAGAAUGUUCUGCAGAUAAAAAUCAUUUCCUUCCACAGAAACACAAAUAAGAUCACACAUAAAAUCUGCCUCUCAUACAAGACCAUACCAGACAGACAUCCUUAAUGUCUCCUCCUGUUUUCCUAAUCACACCAACCAGCCUGUGACAUGGGCCAUGCUGGUGGCUCACUGCCUUGAGUGACAUCAGAUGGAGUGCCAGUGUGACAAGGAAGGAGGGCAGAAAUGAAGAUGUGCCCUCUUCCUAGACAACGAGUGCACAGAUGUGAGGCAGGGAGGAAUCCUUUUUAAUCUCACCGCUGCCACCAAUUUGUAAAGAUGUGGGGUAGAGGAGGAAUCCUUUUGAUCACUUAUGUUAUUAUAUAUUUAACUAUCUUCGCUGCCACCAAUUUAAAUAUGCUUUAUUCAGCUCUGGCCACCAAUUGUGGAGAUGUCAGGCAGAGGAUACUUAUUCUUUUUAAGCUUUCUUUAUUUAUUUCACUUUUGAUGGUGAUGUUGCUUAGCUUAGAAUAUGAGUGUGACAGAGACUUAGAUGGUUUAAAGAACAAAAACAAGUUUAUUCAGGUACAGAGCUUAGUGGUUCAAUAACUUCUUAAAGGCACUUAAAUAACUGUUACAGAUAGAUGUUGAGGUGUUCCAACUCCAAAAUACUUUCUUCUCACAGAACCAAACUAUAAACUGAUCACUUGGAUCUACUGGGAUCAAUUCCCCUUACUCCACAGCCUCUACAAAUAACCCUAAACAAGUCACCCAACUUGCUUAGUCUGGCCUAUUAGAGGUCUGUCUCCCAGUUUCCCUAAUCUGGAACCAGUCUUUCUUCUGUGACUAAGAAUCACAGACUACCUAAAAUAAGUCACCUUAUUUCAGAAUUGACUCAAAUUCCCUCAUUUGAGCCACCCUGAUCCUCCACUUGAGAAUCAGUCCUCACUGUAAUUUCACCAUUACAGACUCUCACUGACUAACUGGGUUUUUAAAACGUUUCCUCCUUUUUUCCUUCAAACAGCGAUUGGCUCCGCCCCUGUUGCUAGGGUAACCUGCCUUAGAAUGCUAAGAUGGUUACCUUCCUCUACAUAUUAUCAACUCCAAUACUCACCCAUUUUAAACAUAGCCAAACAUGACUUCUAAAACAAAAUCAAACAAACAUGUCAUCCAUAAAUUAAAACAUCACACUUCUUUACAACGAGCAACCAGCACAAGCCAUAUUUUGCCUGCUGACCAUCACUACAAGGACAGAACAACCCCAAGGAACCUGGGAUUGUCAUAUAAGCAGGCCACAUACAUGGGCUCACAGUUGCAGUGUGAUCUGGAUUCUAGGUGAGAACUCAAGGUCACUUUAAUCUGCUUUCACCCAUGUUAACCCAAAUCAGCUGCCACAAAGCUAGUCUACUGGCUAUUUGUGCUACAUGGUCAGUGUAAAUAUGCCCCUUGAGAAACAUUUGACCAUAAGGCAGGUUGAUUUUUUUUUAUAACUGCUCAAAGAGAUAUUCAAAUAAAUAGAUAGAAAGUGGGUAUGACAUACCUGAUCUGGCGAAAGAACUAUGGACCAGAGCGCCCCAUCAUGGGCAUCAAUGCUCUCCAAUAUAUUCCCAGAAGCCAAAUCAAACAUCUGUAGCUUCCCAGUCUAAAGAAAUUAUAAAGUUGAAAGAUUAGCUUCAGAGAGUAUUUAAAAUUUUAGAAAUGAGACAUUCAGUGCUUGAAACGGGAGGAAAGAGCAAGUGGAAUGCUUAGAUAUUUAGGAAAAAAUUAGUUAUGUCUAUCCAAAAGGAAACUGGAUGGCAUCUCAUCCUCAGUGUCAACCACAACAUUUUGUAUAUGUAUUUUGUAUAUAUAUUAGGGUAGGCAACCUGUUGCCCUCAGGGUAAUUUCAGAGGUCCAGGGAAAGGUUUUUUUGCCUCCCUGGGAAGUUCAUUGAAAGACAAUCUGACUAUGAGCAAGAAUCUAUGAACAGUGUAAGUGGCAAAAACCGUCAACUUUAAUAACAAAAUCAUAGGAUUGGAAAUGGCCUCAAGGUCAACUCAGAAUGUCCAUGUCAAGGACAGAACGCCACAAGAUUCAAGAUAACAGAGUUUAUUGGAUUACAGAACUCAAAAAUGCCCGUAAAAUACAAGGGCCAGGCAGUAUUAGCCUUUAGGAGCAAAAAGGGACAAGGAAAAACGUUCAAAAGAUAAACCGGAUUAAACCGGAGUUUAAUCCGGGUAAAAACAAACUGCUUGCUUCAGCCUGGGGAUAAACAAAACAAAAGCCGAGGAACAAAAGAUACAAAAGAAUGCAACUAAUUGGCAGCAGAUUCCUCUCUGCUGCCAACACUGUGCUUAGAGUAACUUGCGUCGCUCCCACACACACAGCAGACAGGAUUUCCAACACGAACAGAUCAGCCAAGGAUUGUAGCAGUAGAGUAGAUCCAGUUCCUUUCCGUAGAUCAAAGCCAGAAGCAGACGUUUGUAGUUUCCAAGUCCAAGAAGGGGGAAGUCAAGCCGUGGUCAGUUCAGUCCGAAUUUCAAAGCAGGAGAUGGCGUCCGUCAAGAAGACGACGGAAGGUCAAGGUAUCAGCACACGAAAACACACCAGUCUUCAGGAAAGCGUCCCACACAGAUCCCAAGCGUUCGUCCAGAUUACCUUGCCCAACGCAAUUUGCAAUUGCUCCCAAGCCCCAUUUUAUGCCAGUUACAAAUCCUCAUCACUGUCAGCUGUCCUCCUUAACCCGGGCGUUUCCUCAUCACUUUCCUCAUCAGAGCUGGAACACCUCUGACUACGCCCCACAGCAUCUCCAGCUGUGGAUCCCGUCCCAUCCCUCCAGCUAGACCAUGGGUCUAAUCCUGAAGGUCCCCAUUCAUCUUCUAUCCCAUCAUGGCCAGUGGCACCCAAUUCCUCCCUCACCCGAGUCCAAUCCAUCUCAUCCUCCUCCGAGCUAACCAGCCCCUCCUCCAUUCUCUCCGUAAACCCCUCAAAAGACUCUUCGUCAGAUGGUGCUGCAAAAAUGUCUCGCAGUCUUUUUCUUUCUCGCUCCUCGAGAGUAUCUGACUCUCGAGGAGUCUUACGCCCACGUCUGUCAGUAACAGAGCCAUGAGGCUCAAUCAUAACAGUCCAAGAUUUUGAACAGAAAGAAAAAAGUAUCAGAAAUAUCAAUCUAUCCUUAGGGAAUUCUUUCAUGGGAGUAUAAGUGAAGCAGUCACGAUCGUCUUCAUUUAUGUGAACUGAAAAACAUUGUAAUCACAUCCUGAAUUGAAGGAAACAGAAAGGAAAUCAUCCUGAGAAAAUCCUGUGGCUCUAUAGGUGCGAGUAUUAUUCGAAGGCUAGAACUGAAUAAAUAACACUAUGAAACAAAAUUUGAAAAAGUUUCUUCUUUGUUUGAAAGUGUUAUUUCCUGUUUAACUGUGCAGUGCUUUCUUUGAAAGUAGUUGCUAUGCUCCAGAAACUUUGUUUUUAUGGCUGCCACAAACUAUGUUGAACUGGUUGAGAUAUUCAUUGAAAACUACAGCAAAAUGUGCUGCAGGAUGUCUCACAAAAACAAAGUUUUUAACAAAUUUAACAAAUUUUUCCAUGUUUUUAUGAUAGAAUCAAUUAGGAAAUGAUAUUUAUAACCUAGGAACAAAAAUCGUGUUACUUAGUGCUAUUUCACCAGAUUAUUUUUUGUAUUGGAGUCUUGUUUUGGUUUUUUAUUUCAAUGUCUGUGUUGAAAAAUUUUGCUGUGAAAAUCUAGUAAAAACUAAGAAAAAUAUGUCACAAGAACUCAAAAAGAACCAAGUACUGAUAUCACACCAGUUUGAAGAACUCUUCAAGCAACAGAACAUAAACAGAAAGUACAUGAAAAUGUGAAUUAGAUGAGGGCAGUUUUCCUUGACACCGGAAAAGACAUUCAACAAAUAUUCAGCAAUAACAGAAGGAAUGGGAACUUGCCUUGGUUCCUACAAUAACCUGUCGGUCUCCUGGGACAAAGAGUGAGCAAAGUGCAUAUUCACACACCAUGGUCCGUAUGCACUGCAAGGUAGCCCUAUGUACAAAAUAACACAACUAUUUUAGAGGCAGGCAAUCACAAACUUCCUCUAAAUAAAUAUUGCCAAGAAAACCCUAUAAGAGCAAAUGAGAGUUGACUUGAUGACACAUCAUAACAACAGCAAUAACAACAAAUUCCUAUUUUACAUAUAAUAAGAUACAAUAAUGCCAAUACAAAUGACAGAAAAAACAUACCAAUGUGGAACUUCAAUUCUAUGAGAGAAUGGAAGAUCUGUUGCUUUACCAUACAUUUUAAUGCAAAUGAUAAAAAAAAGUGUCUUACUUUUGAAUUAGUUUCUCUGACUCACCAAAAGACACAAGCAAUGCAAAUAAAUUAAAUCCUCUUCUUAAUGAGGGAGGAAAACCUUACUCAGCUGAAGGUACCAAAUGUCAAUUUGUGGAAUGAAUAUGGUAUACAGUACACAAAGCUGCACCCUACUGGCAAAGAAAAUCACUUGCAUAGAAACAGCAAUAAAUAGCUCAAGAAAAAUUCUGAAACCCUAAAGCUUUCUUUACAUAUGUAACAGACUGCCAUUAUAUACUUCUCGCUGCUGGACAGACUCGAUGAUUAAUUCAAUCCACAAUCAUUCCCAACCAGAGACUCCAAGGAAGAAAGAUCUGGCGUAAAACAAAAACACAAGGCUUUCAAGAACCUUCUAAAUGAGCCCUUCUCCAAACACUCAAGGAUCAUCUACCUAUGAAAUGCCCUAAAAAAGUUGAGGAACAAUGGAAUUAAAAAACAAUAAAGCCAGCAGACAUGAUGGGAUCUCUACCGACUUCUUUAAAGAAGACAGGCCUUAACCAGCACAACAACUCCACUAGCUCACUGAAAAAGUGUGGCUUUAAGGAUGCCAUUAUUGUCACAAUUUUCAAAAAAGGACUCUCUUGCCCUCCCUCUCCCCCCCGACUCAUUCCCAUACGGUUCCCAACUAGCCUCAUUCAUGAGGCCUUCAAAACCUCCCUUCAGUUUUGAAAGCCUUAUGAGUGAGGGUAGUUGGGAAUCAUGCAAGGUGGCAAGUUCACCUGUUUCAGCCUGAUGGAGGGGUGCGACUCCCAAAUGGUAUCAUUGAUAUUGCCUGCCGUACUAUAACAGCACUGUUGGGUGCGUGACAUUCAAAACUCCAUUUUUUGUCAUGUGCACCUCCAAAACUGAGGCACACAUUACAUUCGAUGGUGUGUUAUACUUUAGUGAAUAUGUAAUUUAGAUUCAGGAAAGAAAGCAUUGUAUCGUUAGCUUAGCUAUCUGAAUGUUCCAAGUUUUUGACUUAACCUAUGGCUAUUCACAAAUUCCAUAAUGAUAUCAAGAGAUCAAUGGUAGAAAAGGGUCUCUUUGCAGAUUCAGUACUGGACAAAUGCAAAGUUGUUUAGCAUUUAUUGUGUGCCUACAGCUUUUCUACAAUGUUUCUAUAUUUCAUACCUAUUCCAUAUCUUAACCGAUUCAGCAGCUGCAGAAAGAACUGCAAUGUUGUCAGAGCUAAAUGCCAGUGUUCUGACGUCACUGCGGUGACCUCCAAUAGAUAUCUUGGACAUCUGCACAACUCUGGCUGUCUGUACUGACGGAUCCAAGGUGUAGGAUUCAAUCAUGUUGUUCUGGAGCAUUACAGUGGCUUUCAGCUCUCCUUUUCGACUGAGUAUCAAGUCAAAAGAUCUAUUUCAAUAUAAUAUUAAUUAGUUAGAAAAACAUUGUCAUGUAAAAGGGUUGAAAAGACUGUGAACAAUGGCACCUAAACAAAAAUACUCCAUAACUUGAAAGAGAUGGAGCAGGGAAAUAAAUACACCCAAAUAAGUUACUGUAUCUGUAAGUUGAAGUCUAGGUUCAACUUUAUUUCCUUUGAGACAGCCAUUCCUCUUUGAAAAAGGCAGGAAGAUGAUAAACUGGAGAUUCCUGUACUCCAUGAGAUUUCUGAUUUUGAGUAAUUAGAAAUUCCCAGCACUGCUCAGAAAAGGGAAGCUCUUCAGAGCCAGAUCCUUUCUCUUCUAGAUUCAGUAUUGUUUUCUACCAAGAUGGUAGGAGUAGCCCAACAUAUUUGCUUAUAUUAUUAGCGUAAAGUGAAAAACCAGAUGCAUUGUCCCCUUUCUUCUGCUCUUCUGCAUUUUAGGGUCACCCAAUAAGAAACAGGAAAAUUAAUGAGGUGCCAUCAAAAUCAGGAUAAGGCAGGAACUGUACAACAUUGCAUCUCAUUCUCUCCCACUGAACAUCUCAUCAAUUGACAUUUUCCAGUGCUCCUUAAUGGUCAAAAGGGGCUACUUGUGAAACAUUGGUACUGGAAAAGCGCACUUUCUAUGAAGAUAGUAUAAAAUAAAUUUGGCUUUCACUUUUGAAACAAUUUAAAGAGAAACAAAUAAUUUAAUAAGAAAAACAGAUAAUGCAGUUAUAAUAGCUCAUCUCUUUCCCAUGGGCUCAAAAUUCACUUUCAUUUAACAUGCUUACAAUGUUUACAUUGUACUUGCCUCUUUGUUUACAUAUUCUAUAAAGUACCAUGUACAUGGAUAGCAUGUACAGUACUUUUAAAAGAACCAGUAAGAUCUAAAUUUUAAUAUUACAAGUCGACACUUUCUGCUCACUUGAUUUUAGAAGAGGCUUUGAUGUUAAUGAGACGCUGAAUCUUUUCUUGAAGACCACACUCUAUACUUGCAUCAAGCUGCUCCUCUUCCAGUUUUGAUGCUUGUCUAUGUCAAAAAGAGGGGAGAAAAUCUAAAUUAAAACACUGAAAUCCAAAUCUUAAUUUGACUCAGAAUUUGACAAUACAAACAAGGUAAACAAAUGUCUGAAUCUCAAGUCAAAUUCUGCUCUGCUGUCUGUAAAAACUGUCAUCUAGUUGCUGUAAGCCCCUUCUAAAAGCAUGUUCCAAUACACAUGAUAUCUUCUCACCUCUGCUAUAAAUUCCAAUGCCACUAGUUUUCAAAGAAGUAGCCAUAUUUGUAUCUUGCAGCAUAAAAAGGAGAGUAGGAGGAGGAUAGAAGGGGUGGGGAGAAAAGAAAUAUGGUAGCACUUUAGCCUUAACUUGUUUUUAUUUCUGCACAGUACCAAGUGAUAUUAAGGUCUUAGAUAGAAAUCAUACUUAUACCGUUGUGGGAAUGGAAUAGAAUGUAGUAAGAUUCAGAAGUUUAGAGCAAAGAUCAUGAUUUGCAUCUUUCUGGAUGCUAUACCUGAGGCCUUAGUACUACUCUAUACUGUGUCCAAAAGGUGAGUUAAAACCCACAAAGGUUCAUACAAAAACAGAUUGUUUUCCCCUUCCUUCCUUCUUCUAAUGCCACUCCACCAUUUUCUGCUUUGUCCAAGGUACAUGUUCUAUUAAGAAGCCAGCAGAAAUUAGAGCGCUGAGACUCCAUAAAAUGUUUUUAUCAAUUCUAUUAUAUAGAAGUAAUGAGCCUCCUAUGCAGUUAUUACUGGGUAUAAUUUAUUCCAACUGAUAUUGGCCACCAACAUAGAGUAUGAAUUUAAAAUUCUCUGCUUACACUCUAUUAUGGAUUAAGUAUUUUAUCUGUUGUCAGUACAUAGAAAUGAAAUGCAUUGUCAGGGUGGUAGGGCGAUUUGAGAACUGGACUGCAACUCUGGAGGCUAAAGUUUGGAUACCCACUCAGCCAUAAAAACUAGGUGACAUUAGACAAGUUACAGCCUCAGGAAAAAACAAAAGUCAAGAAAACUCAAUGACAAGGUUGCCUUGGGGACAUCACAGGUCAGAAAUGACUUGAAUUUACUUGGCCUUUUUUCUUGCUUUCUUCAUCUUCUUCUCUAUUUUCUUGUCAAUCUCUUCCUUGCUAAGGACAUAGAAUAUUUCCAAAGUAGAAUCUGUUCCCUUAGAAAAGAAGAGACAAAGUUGCAGAAAUCUCUGAAUUAGAAAAAAUCUAGCCAAGUGCCUAAGUCUCACAUGAGCUCCAAAAACCAGUAACUUACAUGACAAGCAAGAAUCCUCUUUGUCUGGUCUGUGGCAAGACUAACAACUCUGUCCCUUCCUUCACGCAUGAUGGAACCAACUUUGCUGCAACUUAGAAUGUCCUAAAAAAGAGGGGGGGGGGAGCAAAGGGAAAUACAAAUAUAAAAUGAACAUUUUCAACAAAACCAUCAAAAACGUUUAAGAGACAAGAAGGUCCUAUCUUUUUAGGUUAUAAGCUAGAGGCAUCCACUACAGCAGAUAAUUAUUUUGGGGGACAACAAACUUUGUGGCUCCUGGCAUCUUUCCAAAGAUUGGGUCACCCUAACUUUCAGUCAUCAUUUGGCCAGUAUCCACCAUCAAAAAGAGAAGAGAAAGAACAUGGAUGCCAUGUUGUUUGGAAGCCUGUUUAAUAAUAAUAACAACAACAACAACAACAACUACUACUACUACUACUUUAUUUUUAUAACCCGACCCAUCUCCCCGGAGGGACUCGGAGCGGCUUACAUGGGGCCAUGCCCGACAUAAAAGUACUAAGUUAAUAGCUGUUUAGGAUUCUGCCACUUGAAUAAAUAGGAGUUGACUUUUUGAAAAAUAAGAAUUAUAUGUUACCAGAAAGCAGGAGGGAUAGAGACGGCCUUAGGAUAUUAGAAAUGCUUUGGUGGUGCAUGGCCAAAAAAUGGUUGGGAAUCACUGAUUUAAACCAAAACAAAUCCUCGUGUUCUUCAGAUUGUAAAUUUCCAAUUAAGGUUCUUGCUAAUUAGGUAAAGGUCUUCUCCUGACAUUAAGUUGUGUCUGACCCUGUGGGUUGGUGCUCAUCUCCAUAUCUAAGCUGAAGAACCGGCUUUGUCUGCAGACGCCUCCUAGGUCAUGUGGCUGGCAUGACUGCAUAGAGUGCUGUUACCUUCCUGCAAAACAGUAUCUAUUGAUCUACUCACAUUUGCAUGUUUUCAAACUGCUAGGUUGGCAGAAGUUGGGGCUAAUAGCAGGAGCUCAUCCCGCUCCCCGGAUUCAAACUACCAUCCUUUUGGUCCAAGUUCAGCAGCUCAGCUUUAGCCCCCUGUGCCACCGAGAUUAAUUAAAUUAUAUCAAAUCAUCCUUUGUUCAGAGAAGUAAUCAUCUGAUAGAGCUUCCCAUAGUAUUCCAAUUAAUUACAAAACUUGAAAGUAGCUUUAAAAGAAAGAAAAAAUCAAGCAUCUUUGCCAGUGGCUUUUUUCCCUCCCCAAAGUUCACAGGGCCCCUUUCCAGCUCACUAUAAUCUUAUAUGCUACAGAGUUCAGGAUGAGCAAAAUAAUGAUCAUUUGACCCUCUUUCCUUUCUUUGUGCCUCUCAUGCCAGAAUCCCUCAUUCCCCUUCUACCCAGAGCAAGUUCUAGUCGGUCUUGGAGCCCUAAGACCAGCAAAAAGCCAUAUUUCACUCAGCAGAGCUCCAAAGUUUCUCGCUUCUGAUCUGAAGUCCUCCAAGGCACUCUUCUACUAUCCUAAUUACAAUAGCAAAAAGUAGAGCAGGCUGAGAAAAGUGCCUGAAGCUAUGGGCCCAGCUACUACGGCAAAUCAGCAUUAUAAAAUAAUUUUAUUCACUUGACAUGUUUAUUUUACCUAUCGGAGAAAAAUUGUAAAGCUCAAAGAGGGAAUGCACCAGGCAAGAAUGAGACAGACUUUCACUAAAAAAGUGCUCCUCAAAGAUGUGGACUAGUUAUACCUAUUGUGUUGAGUGGGAGAAACAAUCCAUCACUGAAUGUUCAGCCUUUUACUGUUGGAAAAAGAUACCUGUUCCAGGAUCUCAUCGUUAUCUACUGUCUUAUCCUCUUCAGUGAGGUCUUUCAUCCUCUCUGCAGACUCUUUGCUUCUUUUAUAUAAAGGCUCACUUGGAUCUUGAUCCUAUUUAAUCAAAACAGUCAAUUAAACAUAGAAUGAAGACUGGGACAUACUUUCUAACGCCUAUCUGUGUAAUCAACAUUUUUGCAUUUGUUUACACCUUAACAGGACAAAAUACUAUCAUAUGUGUUAUGGUUGAGCCUUAUGGCUCCGAUACUGGGAGACGAGGUCGUAAGACUCCUCGGGAGUCAGACUCUCUUGAGGAGCGAGAAAGGAAACGGCUCCGGGACUUAUUUGCAGAACCAACAGACGAAGACUCCUUUGAGGGUUUUACCGAGAAAAUGAGGAAGAGAUGGUUAGCUCAGAGGAGGAUGACAUGGAAUGGACGCGUGUGAGGGAGGACUUGGGUGUCACCGGCAAUGAUAGUGUGGGAGGCGAUUGGCGGGUUGCAGGAUCGGACCCGUGGACGGGCUGGAGGGAUGGAACGGGGUCCACAGCUGGGGAUGCUGUGGGGCGUAGUCAAAGGUGUUUUAGCUCUGAUGAGGAUGAUGAUGAGGAGGCACCUGGAAUUAGGAUAGCAGCUGACAGCGAUGAGGAGUUAUGAACUGGCAUAAAAUGGGGUCUAGAAUCAAUGGCUAAUUGCGUUGGGCAAGGUAAUCUGGACGAACGCUUGGGCUCUUGUUGGGAAAUUCCUGAAGACGGGUGUGAUUCGUUUGCUGAAUACCUUGGACCUCCGUCGUCUUUUUGACGGACAUUAAUUGCCUACUCUGGAUUGACGCUGGACUGACUGACUGACUACGAUCCCGGACUUCCCUUCUGUGGCUAUCGGUGGAACUUGUGAACUAAAGACAUCUGUACCUGGCUUUCGACCUCGGACCGGAUUGGGACCCUGCUGACCGUUACUACCCUGAUUGAUGUGCCUGGAUCCGGAUUUCGCUCGUUGCACGGAGGAGUAACAACCUUAGUUACUCAAUUGUAGCUUUUAAGUAGCAGAGAGGAAUCUGCUGCCAGUUAUUUGUGUUUCAUUGAACCUUUGUUUAUCAGCUUUUGUUUGUUAAAAUUGCCAGGCUGAAGUAAGCAUUUUUGGUUUAACCCGGAUUAAACUUCUGUUUAAUCCGGUUUAUCUUUUGAACCAUUUUUAGUACCAGCGGAGUCUUUCUUGUAUCUUUUCACAUUGAAGGCAAGUGUUUGCCUAGUCCUUUGUUUAUUACGGGCAUUUUUAGUGCUGUUACUUUAAUAAACUGUGUUGAACUUUA